GACGAACGCUGGCGGCGUGCUUAACACAUGCAAGUCGAACGAAGUGGCGAACGGGUGAGUAACGCGUAAUCAACCUGCCCUUCAGAGGGGGACAACAGUUGGAAACGACUGCUAAUACCGCAUAAUGAAGGAGGGGAUUGCGUCUGAUUAGAUAGUUGGAGGGGUAACGGCCCACCGAGGCGAUGAUCAGUAGCCGUUCUGAAAGGAUGACCGGCCACAUUGGUACUGAGACACGGCCCAGACUCCUACGGGAGGCAGCAGUGGGGAAGCUUCCGCAAUGGACGAAAGUCUGACGGAGCAACGCCGCGUGAGUGAGGACGGCCUUCGGGUUGUAAAGCUCUGUUAAUCGGGACGCGGUACCGGAAUAGAAAGCCACGGCUAACUACGUGCCAGCAGCCGCGGUAAUUC
This 408-nucleotide ribosomal RNA is filed under the name uncultured bacterium. RNAcentral's name for it is "partial 16S ribosomal RNA". It matches the Rfam family "Bacterial small subunit ribosomal RNA", at positions 28 to 526 of the family's 1533-position model. The record is from RNAcentral.